Molecule: ribosomal RNA, 469 nt
Filed under: uncultured bacterium
Lineage: Bacteria
Description: bacterial SSU rRNA
Rfam family: Bacterial small subunit ribosomal RNA
Source: RNAcentral
GACGAACGCUGGCGGCGUGCUUAACACAUGCAAGUCGAACGGAAAGGCCCUGCUUUUGUGGGGUGCUCGAGUGGCGAACGGGUGAGUAACACGUGAGUAACCUGCCCUUGACUUUGGGAUAACUUCAGGAAACUGGGGCUAAUACCGGAUAGGAGCUCCUGCUGCAUGGUGGGGGUUGGAAAGUUUCGGCGGUUGGGGAUGGACUCGCGGCUUAUCAGCUUGUUGGUGGGGUAGUGGCUUACCAAGGCUUUGACGGGUAGCCGGCCUGAGAGGGUGACCGGCCACAUUGGGACUGAGAUACGGCCCAGACGCCUACGGGAGGCAGCAGUGGGGAAUAUUGCACAAUGGGCGGAAGCCUGAUGCAGCAACGCCGCGUGCGGGAUGACGGCCUUCGGGUUGUAAACCGCUUUCGCCUGUGACGAAGCGUGAGUGACGGUAAUGGGUAAAGAAGCACCGGCUAACUACGUGC